This 365-nucleotide long non-coding RNA is filed under the name Helianthus annuus (common sunflower). Its description in RNAcentral is "sRNA HanXRQr2_Chr16g0765571". Lineage: Eukaryota; Viridiplantae; Streptophyta; Magnoliopsida; Asterales; Asteraceae. The record is from RNAcentral.
AAAAACCCAAAUUCAGUCCUGGUGGAAUACGAGCAUAACCAGUCGCACGCACAGAACAGAAGGGGGCAAAGAAACCCCAAAUCGCUGCUGACCUGCUGUUGUUGUUCGAGUCCGAGGGCAGGGGUCUUGAACUUGCUCGAUUUCUUCACGAAUCACGGCUCAUCCUCAGGUUGAAAUUGGGGGUGAAUUUUAGCCCUAAACUUGUUGAAAUUGUCAAUCUUCGACGAAUUCUUCUUGAAUCUUCAUAAGGUAUGUAUUAUGCUAUGGGAUUGACCGGCUGCUGCUGUGCCUGCUCUUGUUCGACUGCAAGCUGCUGCGCUACUUGUUGUGGUCUUGUUUGACUUCUUCAAUCUUCAUAAGGUUAA